CAGUCGCCGCGGGAAUACGGAGGGUGCAAGCGUUAAUCGGAAUUACUGGGCGUAAAGCGCACGCAGGCGGUUUGUUAAGUCAGAUGUGAAAUCCCCGAGCUUAACUUGGGAACUGCAUUUGAAACUGGCAAGCUAGAGUCUUGUAGAGGGGGGUAGAAUUCCAGGUGUAGCGGUGAAAUGCGUAGAGAUCUGGAGGAGUACCGGUGGCGAAGGCGGCCCCCUGGACAAAGACUGACGCUCAGGUGCGAAAGCGUGGGGAGCAAACAGGAUUAGAUACCCCUGUAGUCCCUGUCUCUUAUAC
Molecule: ribosomal RNA, 301 nt
Filed under: uncultured bacterium
Lineage: Bacteria
Description: partial 16S ribosomal RNA
Rfam family: Bacterial small subunit ribosomal RNA
Source: RNAcentral